RNAcentral lists this ribosomal RNA (478 nucleotides) under uncultured bacterium. Its description in RNAcentral is "partial 16S ribosomal RNA". It matches the Rfam family "Bacterial small subunit ribosomal RNA", at positions 28 to 523 of the family's 1533-position model. The record is from RNAcentral.
GACGAACGCUGGCGGCGUGCUUAACACAUGCAAGUCGAACGGUAAGGCCCUUCGGGGUACACGAGUGGCGAACGGGUGAGUAACACGUGGGUGAUCUGCCCUGCACUUCGGGAUAAGCCUGGGAAACUGGGUCUAAUACCGGAUAGGACGCCUGGCUUCAUGGUGGGGGGUGGAAAGCUUUUGCGGUGUGGGAUGGGCCCGCGGCCUAUCAGCUUGUUGGUGGGGUAAUGGCCUACCAAGGCGACGACGGGUAGCCGGCCUGAGAGGGUGACCGGGCAAACUGGGACUGAGAUACGGCCCAGACUCCUACGGGAGGCAGCAGUGGGGAAUAUUGCACAAUGGGCGCAAGCCUGAUGCAGCGACGCCGCGUGAGGGAUGACGGCCUUCGGGUUGUAAACCUUUUUCAGCUAUGACGAAGCGCAAGUGACGGUAGUAGCAGAAGAAGGACCGGCCAACUACGUGCCAGCCGCCGCCGUAA